UCAGCAAAUUAGAGCAGACAAGCGUAAUUGGUAUCAUAGGAUCAAUCACAUAGUGGCAAUGCUGCUAGCAUGAAUCAAUUACUUGGAAAAAGUUAUCCAAAACUAUCUUCAAACAAAGUGUUCCAAUUUGAGUUGCUCAACAUCUCUUCUAUUACAUGGACCAUGGUUCACUGAUUUGAUAGGGUAGUACUAGCUGGCGAUCUGUUCGAUACAGUAUGGUUCCCUACCGUGCCAUUUCAAGGAGUACACCGGAUAUGAGUGAGGGGGAGAGGGAGAAUAAGGGAGAGAAAAAAAGACAGAGAG
RNAcentral lists this long non-coding RNA (303 nucleotides) under Elaeis guineensis (African oil palm). RNAcentral describes it as "long non-coding RNA (EGUI_LNC036240)". The record is from RNAcentral. Lineage: Eukaryota; Viridiplantae; Streptophyta; Magnoliopsida; Arecales; Arecaceae.